GAGGGUAUAGCUCAAGUGGUAGAGUGCAUGGUUAGUACACACAAGGUCCUGAGUUCAAUCCCCAGUACCUCCU
This is a transfer RNA of Camelus ferus (Wild Bactrian camel), 73 nucleotides long. It matches the Rfam family "tRNA". From Rfam's summary of the family: Transfer RNA (tRNA) molecules are approximately 80 nucleotides in length. Their secondary structure includes four short double-helical elements and three loops (D, anti-codon, and T loops). Lineage: Eukaryota; Metazoa; Chordata; Mammalia; Artiodactyla; Camelidae. The record is from Rfam.